This 395-nucleotide unclassified non-coding RNA is filed under the name soil metagenome. RNAcentral's name for it is "partial contains 5.8S ribosomal RNA, internal transcribed spacer 2, and large subunit ribosomal RNA". The stretch from base 1 to 121 matches the Rfam family "5.8S ribosomal RNA", at positions 35 to 154 of the family's 154-position model. The record is from RNAcentral.
GAUGAAGAACGCAGCGAACGUGCGAAACGUAAUGUGAAUUGCAGAAUUCAGUGAAUCAUCGAAUCUUUGAACGCAUCUUGCGCUCCUUGGUAUUCCGAGGAGCAUGCCUGUUUGAGUGUCGUGAAUACUCUCAACUUCAACCCUUUUUUCGGAAAGGGAGGAAGGUUGGACUUGGGUGUUUGUUGAAGUGCGAGCUUCGACUCAUCCUAAAUGCAUUAGCGAUCUGCCUCGAUCACACACAAUGUGAUAAUUAAAACUAAAGCAUUGUUUAAUGAUCAAGUCGAGACUGCUACUAACUGUCGCAAGACAAUAACGUGCAUACAUUUGUGCAUGUCAUUUGACCUCAAAUCAGGUAGGACUACCCGCUGAACUUAAGCAUAUCAAUAAGCGGAGGA